GCAUAUCAAUAAGCGGAGGAAAAGAAACCAACAGGGAUUGCCCUAGUAACGGCGAGUGAAGCGGCAACAGCUCAAAUUUGAAAUCUGGCUCUUUCAGAGUCCGAGUUGUAAUUUGCAGAGGGCGCUUUGGCUUUGGCAGCGGUCCAAGUUCCUUGGAACAGGACGUCACAGAGGGUGAGAAUCCCGUACGUGGUCGCUAGCUAUUGCCGUGUAAAGCCCCUUCGACGAGUCGAGUUGUUUGGGAAUGCAGCUCUAAAUGGGAGGUAAAUUUCUUCUAAAGCUAAAUAUUGGCCAGAGACCGAUAGCGCACAAGUAGAGUGAUCGAAAGAUGAAAAGCACUUUGGAAAGAGAGUCAAACAGCACGUGAAAUUGUUGAAAGGGAAGCGCUUGCAGCCAGACUUGCUUGCAGUUGCUCAUCUGGGCUUUUGCCCGGUGCACUCUUCUGUAGGCAGGCCAGCAUCAGUUUGGGCGGUGGGAUAAAGGUCUCUGUCAUGUACCUCUCUUCGGGGAGGCCUUAUAGGGGAGGCGACAUACCACCAGCCUGGACUGAGGUCCGCGCAUCUGCUAGGAUGCUGGCGUAAUGGCUGUAAGCGGCCCGUCUUGAAACACGGACCAAGGAGUCUAACAUCUAUGCGAGUGUUUGGGUGUCAAGCCCGAGCGCGUAAUGAAAGUGAACGGAGGUGGGAACCCGCAAGGGCGCACCAUCGACCGAUCCUGAAGUUUACGGAAGGAUUUGAGUAAGAGCAUGGCUGUUGGGACCCGAAAGAUGGUGAACUAUGCUUGAAUAGGGUGAAGCCAGAGGAAACUCUGGUGGAGGCUCGCAGCGGUUCUGACGUGCAAAUCGAUCGUCAAAUUUGGGCAUAGGGGCGAAAGACUAAUCGAACUAUCUAGUAGCUGGUUCCUGCGA
RNAcentral lists this ribosomal RNA (907 nucleotides) under Johnalcornia aberrans. Its description in RNAcentral is "LSU rRNA". It matches the Rfam family "Eukaryotic large subunit ribosomal RNA", at positions 38 to 963 of the family's 3401-position model. The record is from RNAcentral. Lineage: Eukaryota; Fungi; Ascomycota; Dothideomycetes; Pleosporales; Pleosporaceae.